This 939-nucleotide ribosomal RNA is filed under the name Ephemerocybe callina. Its description in RNAcentral is "LSU rRNA". It matches the Rfam family "Eukaryotic large subunit ribosomal RNA", at positions 38 to 960 of the family's 3401-position model. The record is from RNAcentral. Lineage: Eukaryota; Fungi; Basidiomycota; Agaricomycetes; Agaricales; Psathyrellaceae.
GCAUAUCAAUAAGCGGAGGAAAAGAAACUAACAAGGAUUCCCCUUAGUAACUGCGAAGUGAAGCGGGAAAAAGCUCAAAUUUAAAAUCUGGUGGUCUUUGGCCAUCCGAGUUGUAAUCUAGAGAAGUGUUACCCGCGUCGGACCGUGUACAAGUCUCCUGGAAUGGAGCGUCAUAGAGGGUGAGAAUCCCGUCUUUGACACGGACCCCCGAGGCUUUGUGGUGCGCUCUCAAAGAGUCGAGUUGUUUGGGAAUGCAGCUCAAAAUGGGUGGUAAAUUCCAUCUAAAGCUAAAUAUUGGCGAGAGACCGAUAGCGAACAAGUACCGUGAGGGAAAGAUGAAAAGAACUUUGGAAAGAGAGUUAAACAGUACGUGAAAUUGCUGAAAGGGAAACGCUUGAAGUCAGUCGCGUUGGCCGGAAAUCAGCCUUCCUUUUGGUUGGUGUACUUUCUGGUUGACGGGCCAGCAUCAGUUUUGACCGGUGGAUAAAGUUGUGAGGAAUGUGGCAUCUUCGGGUGUGUUAUAGCCUCGCUUCGUAUACAUCGAUUGGGACUGAGGAACUCAGCACGCCGAAAGGCCGGGGUUCGCCCACGUUCGUGCUUAGGAUGCUGGCAUAAUGGCUUUAAUCGACCCGUCUUGAAACACGGACCAAGGAGUCUAACAUGCCUGCGAGUGUUUGGGUGGAAAACCCGAGCGCGUAAUGAAAGUGAAAGUCGAGAUCCUUGUCAUGGGGAGCAUCGACGCCCGGACCAGAAGUUUACGGACGGCCCUGCGGUAGAGCAUGUAUGUUGGGACCCGAAAGAUGGUGAACUAUGCCUGAAUAGGGUGAAGCCAGAGGAAACUCUGGUGGAGGCUCGUAGCGAUUCUGACGUGCAAAUCGAUCGUCAAAUUUGGGUAUAGGGGGCGAAAGACUAAUCGAACCAUCUAGUAGCUGGUUCUGC